GAGGGUAUAGCUCAGUGGUGGAGUGUGUGCUUAGCAAGCAGGAGGUCCUGGGUUCAAUCCCCAGUACCUCCA
RNAcentral lists this transfer RNA (72 nucleotides) under Camelus dromedarius (Arabian camel). It matches the Rfam family "tRNA". Rfam says of the family: Transfer RNA (tRNA) molecules are approximately 80 nucleotides in length. Their secondary structure includes four short double-helical elements and three loops (D, anti-codon, and T loops). The record is from Rfam by way of RNAcentral. RNAcentral also lists the same sequence under 1 other name. Lineage: Eukaryota; Metazoa; Chordata; Mammalia; Artiodactyla; Camelidae.